Molecule: ribosomal RNA, 1440 nt
Filed under: Triticum aestivum (bread wheat)
Lineage: Eukaryota; Viridiplantae; Streptophyta; Magnoliopsida; Poales; Poaceae
Description: partial small subunit ribosomal RNA
Source: RNAcentral
AUGCUCCCAGACCUGAACUGCUCACCACCCUCAGGAGAAGAAGAAGCUGAUGUGAAUAUGGUCCAAGAAGAAGAAGUAGCAGAUGUCCAAGAAGAAACAUUAAAUGUCCAAGAAGAAGCAACAGGUGUUCAGCAAAUACGAAGGCAAAGAAAGUCACUAACAGAUGAGCAGAGAUAUGCUGCUUACAUGGCAAUGCUUACGCUGAAUAUGAGUAGGGGUGGCAAGUUCAAAAGAACUGACAAGAAGGAUGUUGCUCGAAUUUUUCAAGCUGAUAUUCAAGUUAUUCAGAGAAUCUGGAGGACAGCAGAGCGACAAAAAGAGCUUGGUAAGGAGGUGGAUGUGUCCAACCAAAAGAAAAGAAGAUGUGGAAGGAAAGGAAAGGAUAAUGUCCUAUCUCAAAUCCCCACAGUUCCAUUGAAUAGAAGGUCGACUCUCAGGUCACUUGCUCGCGCAUUGGGUGUCAGUCAUACUACACUCUACCAGAAACUCAAGCUUCACAAGAUUAGGAGGCACUCCAAUCGUUUGAAGCCAAGCUUGAAAGAAAAGAAUAAAAGAGAAAGAAUCAAGUUUUGUAUGUCGAUGCUUGAUGAGACAACUUUAGCAGCUACAAGACCUAAAUUCAUCAGUAUGCACAACAUUGUGCAUAUUGACGAAAAGUGGUUCUAUAUGACAAAAAUGAACAGAAACUACUACCUCCUCCCUCAUGAAGAUGACCCGGUCAGAACCAUUCGGAACAAGAACUGUAUUGGCAAAGUAAUAUUCCUGACCGCUGUUGCUCGACCCAGAUAUGAUGCUGAAGGCAAUGUAACAUUCUCAGGAAAAAUUGGUGUCUGGCCUUUCGUCCAAGAGAUUCCAGCUGCUAGAAGAAGUGAAAAUAGAGCAAGAGGGACCAUGGAAAUCAAGAACGUCACUGUGAACCGACACGUAAUGCGGCAGUAUAUGAUAGAGAAAGUGGUUCCGGGAAUAAAAGAAGUGUGGCCCACAGAUGAUAUUGGCCCAAUAUUGAUCCAACAGGACAACGCGAAGACACAUAUUCUUCCCGGUGAUGCAGAGUUUGCAGAAGCUGUGGCUACAACUGGUCUCGACAUUAGAAUAAUACAACAACCUCCAAAUUCUCCAGAUCUGAAUGCACUUUAUCUUGGAUAUUUCAGAUCCCUUGAGUCUUUGACCGACUGCAGAGCCCCUACGACUAUCAAAGAACUGAUUCAAGGUGUGCAUGAAGAGUUCGAUGAGUAUGAUGUCGACAAACUCAACCGAAUAUUUCUAACACUUCAGACCAUCAUGGUUGAAGUGAUGAACUAUCGAGGAGGAAACUCGUAUAAAAUUCCACAUUUGCGGAAGGAGAGAUUGGAAAGGCAAGGAAUGCUACCGCCUAUGAUACAUUUCCCUCGUGAAGUUUAUGAUAAUGCCAUGGAGAUUCUAGGACAAGAUGUCGACUGA